Molecule: unclassified non-coding RNA, 387 nt
Filed under: uncultured Verrucomicrobiae bacterium
Lineage: Bacteria; Pseudomonadati; Verrucomicrobiota; Verrucomicrobiia
Description: contains 16S-23S intergenic spacer region
Source: RNAcentral
UCCUCGUUUAAGCGAGGCAGUCUGUCCAGAGUGCUCCUUACUCUCGUAAGGGUGGCAACAGGACACAAGGGUUGCGCUCGUUGCGGGACUUAACCCAACAUCUCACGACACGAGCUGACGACAGCCAUGCAGCACCUGUGUAAGCUCCCCUUGCGGGGUCGUCACCCUUUCAGGCUUCUACCACCUACAUGUCAAGGCCAGGUAAGGUUCUUCGCGUUGCAUCGAAUUAAGCCACAUACUCCACCGCUUGUGCAGGCCCCCGUCAAUUUCUUUGAGUUUUAAUCUUGCGACCGUACUUCCCAGGCGGCACAUUUAACGCGUUUGCUACGCCACGGACGGGGUCGAUUCCGCCCACAGCAAAUGUGCACCGUUUACGGCUAGGACUAC